This 482-nucleotide ribosomal RNA is filed under the name uncultured bacterium. RNAcentral's name for it is "partial 16S ribosomal RNA". It matches the Rfam family "Bacterial small subunit ribosomal RNA", at positions 28 to 523 of the family's 1533-position model. The record is from RNAcentral.
GACGAACGCUGGCGGCGUGCUUAACACAUGCAAGUCGAACGAUGAUGCCCAGCUUGCUGGGUGGAUUAGUGGCGAACGGGUGAGUAACACGUGAGUAACCUGCCCCUGACUCUGGGAUAAGCGUUGGAAACGACGUCUAAUACUGGAUAUGACUGCCGGCCGCAUGGUCUGGUGGUGGAAAGAUUUUUGGUUGGGGAUGGACUCGCGGCCUAUCAGCUUGUUGGUGAGGUAAUGGCUCACCCAGGCGACGACGGGUAGCCGGCCUGAGAGGGUGACCGGCCACACUGGGACUGAGACACGGCCCAGACUCCUACGGGAGGCAGCAGUGGGGAAUAUUGCACAAUGGGCGAAAGCCUGAUGCAGCAACGCCGCGUGAGGGAUGACGGCCUUCGGGUUGUAAACCUCUUUUAGUAGGGAAGAAGCGAAAGUGACGGUACCUGCAGAAAAAGCACCGGCUAACUACGUGCCAGCAGCCGCCGUAA